GACGAACGCUGGCGGUGUGCUUAACACAUGCAAGUCGAACGGAAAGGCCCUGCUUUUGUGGGGUGCUCGAGUGGCGAACGGGUGAGUAACACGUGAGUAACCUGCCCUUGACUUUGGGAUAACUUCAGGAAACUGGGGCUAAUACCGGAUAGGAGCUCCUGCUGCAUGGUGGGGGUUGGAAAGUCUCGGCGGUUGGGGAUGGACUCGCGGCUUAUCAGCUUGUUGGUGGGGUAGUGGCUUACCAAGGCUUUGACGGGUAGCCGGCCUGAGAGGGUGACCGGCCACAUUGGGACUGGGGUACGGCCCAGACUCCUACGGGAGGCAGCAGGGGGGAAUAUUGCACAAUGGGCGGAAGGCUGAUGCAAGAACGCCGCGUGCGGGGUAGCGGCCUUCGGGUUGUAGACCGCUUUCGCCUGUGACGGAGCGUGAGUGACGGUAAUGGGUAAAGAAGCACCGGCUAACUACGUG
This 468-nucleotide ribosomal RNA is filed under the name uncultured bacterium. RNAcentral describes it as "partial 16S ribosomal RNA". It matches the Rfam family "Bacterial small subunit ribosomal RNA", at positions 28 to 507 of the family's 1533-position model. The record is from RNAcentral.